UACGAAGGGUGCAAGCGUUGCUCGGAAUCACUGGGCGUAAAGGGUGCGUAGGCGGGUCUUUAAGUCAGGGGUGAAAUCCUGGAGCUCAACUCCAGAACUGCCUUUGAUACUGAAGAUCUUGAGUUCGGGAGAGGUGAGUGGAACUGCGAGUGUAGAGGUGAAAUUCGUAGAUAUUCGCAAGAACACCAGUGGCGAAGGCGGCUCACUGGCCCGGUACUGACGCUGAGGUGCGAAAGCGUGGGGAGCAAACAGG
This 253-nucleotide ribosomal RNA is filed under the name uncultured bacterium. Its description in RNAcentral is "partial 16S ribosomal RNA". It matches the Rfam family "Bacterial small subunit ribosomal RNA", at positions 524 to 776 of the family's 1533-position model. The record is from RNAcentral.